This 413-nucleotide unclassified non-coding RNA is filed under the name uncultured Piloderma. Its description in RNAcentral is "sequence contains ITS2". The stretch from base 1 to 155 matches the Rfam family "5.8S ribosomal RNA". The record is from RNAcentral. Lineage: Eukaryota; Fungi; Basidiomycota; Agaricomycetes; Atheliales; Atheliaceae.
AACUUUUAGCAACGGAUCACUUGGCUCUCGCAUCGAUGAAGAACGCAGCGAAAUGCGAUAAGUAAUGUGAAUUGCAGAUUUUCAGUGAAUAAUCGAAUCUUUGACCGCACCUUGCGCCCCUUGGUAUUCCGAGGGGAAUGCCUGUUUGGGUGUAAUUAAAUUCUCAACUCAGAUUUGAUUUGUUUCUAAUCGUAGCUUGGACUUGGAGCGUGCUGGCGUCGACUCGGCUCCUCUCAAAUGCAUCAGCGGAAUCUAACCUUUGGUUUCCCGACGUCGGUUUGAUAAGUCAGUUGCGCCGGCUUUCGACUUCAAAGUCCGUUCAUAACGGUCUCCGGUCCAGCGCUUUUAUCAAAUUUGACCUCAAAUCAGGUAGGACUACCCGCUGAACUUAAGCAUAUCAAUAAGCGGAGGCU